RNAcentral lists this ribosomal RNA (406 nucleotides) under uncultured bacterium. RNAcentral describes it as "partial 16S ribosomal RNA". It matches the Rfam family "Bacterial small subunit ribosomal RNA", at positions 30 to 526 of the family's 1533-position model. The record is from RNAcentral.
AUUGAACGCUGGCGGCAGGCUUAACACAUGCAAGUCGAGCGAGCGGCGGACGGGUGGGUAAUGUCUGGGAAACUGCCUGAGGGAGGGGGCUAACUACUGGAAACGGUAGCUAAUAACGCAUACCAUCAGAUGUGCCCAGAUGGGAUGAGCUAGUAGGUGGGGUAAUGGCUCACCUAGGGGACGAUCCCUAGCUGGUCUGAGAGGAUGACCGGCCACACUGGAACUGAGACACGGUCCAGACUCCUACGGGAGGCAGCAGUGGGGAAUAUUGCACAAUGGGCGCAAGCCUGAUGCAGCCAUGCCGCGUGUGUGAAGAAGGCCUUCGGGUUGUAAAGCACUGUCAGUGAGGAGGCGUUACUCACAGAAGAAGCACCGGCUAACUCCGUGCCAGCAGCCGCGGUAAUUC